Long non-coding RNA from Podarcis muralis (Common wall lizard), 1436 nucleotides. RefSeq lists it as uncharacterized. Lineage: Eukaryota; Metazoa; Chordata; Lepidosauria; Squamata; Lacertidae. The record is from RefSeq and is a predicted model, not a curated record.
AAGAACACCAACUUGCAUAAAAUUGUUCUACUGGUCCUUUGCCUUCUUUCAUCACACAAAAUAUUGUUGGUUGUAUUUUCAGCAGCUGCAAGGUUCCACAAAUUCUUAUGCCACAAUUCAAGACAACAGAUCAUUCUUCCAUUUUUUUGUGUGUGCAAUACAAAGUCUGGCAGCUGCUAGAAACUAAGUUAGCAGUGCCUUCAAAAAGAAUUGUUUUAGACUCUAAAAUUUAGAGUAUCCUCUCAUAUAUAGCCUCCAGGAAUUGUCCUUCAUCUUCAGGAAACUCCUGCAGCCAAUCCUGGAGAUUUGACAAGCUGCUGCUGCUGUCUCACCCUGUUGCCUGAACCUUUAAGGAAAGGCCACAGCCACAAGCGGGUGUUGCUUGCCCCAGCUGUGGACCAGGGCAGUGGCGGAGGAAGCCCAGGUUCCUUAAAGUGGUUGCAUGGGAAUCGAGAAGUCUGGAGCAGGAAGGUGCAGGAGAUGCAAAGCGGGCAAGGCUUAGUCAGUAAAGAGCGGGAAAAACCAUGGCAACCAGUCCUGGGUCAAUGUUGCAAAAUGGAACUAGGAGACUAGAAUGUGGGUUGAGACUCUCUUAAGAGCAAUGGGAAGAGGGAGCUGGGCUUUGUUUUAUGGCUCGGGGAUGGAUUCAUUCACUCCCCCAAUAAAUCUAUUUUCCUAGUAGCUUCCCUUACAAACAAAGGGGAAUCCUCUAAGCUGCCGGAAAGAAGUUUUGCCUGAAAUCUUAGAAAUCAUCUGCCAGUCGGUGGAGACAGUACUGAACUAGAUGGAGCAAUGGUCUUUGUUUUGGUAUAAGAUGUCGCCACCUGAUUUGCUGACCCCCCCACCUUGUACCAUAUCCAAGGCAUUUGUGGAUCCCUUGGUGUAACUCUCAGACUUUGGAAGGUUGGCAUCACUGAAUCACGUCAGGUACCCGCUAGAAACAGGUGGUUGGCUCGGGUACAAAUGUAGAAAGAAGGAAGCCAACACAGGAAAUGCAGCCUGCAGGUCACACUGAUGAUCCUUGCUCAGCCUUGACGUCGUGGAGAGGAUAUUGCCAUAGUUUCUUCCUGAACACGCUCGUUUUUAAUGGAGAUGUUAGGGAGCGCGGGAGGUAUUGGGAAUAUCGUCUGAGUCAUUGCCCAAGAAGUCAAGGUCCCUCUUUCUUAAAAGCUGGCCUGAUUGCAGUGAAGAUAUUGUGAGGGAAAGAGCUGGCUAUGCCGAGGUACAGAAGUGCGGUGCUGUCCAAUCCUAACCAGUAGAUGACCAGGAGCUCCAGGAGCUGGAGUUUGGGAGAAGAGAGGAAUUAGCUCUCCUGUGUGAACUAACACAAGGGGCAGCUGCUGUUGCUGUUCGGAGGAUCUGCAGUCCCAGGAGGUGUGACUUUAUCAUGUAUAUGGCUAUCUGCCUGCUUUACUGUAAGCUUAAUAAAUUGGAAU